RNAcentral lists this ribosomal RNA (358 nucleotides) under uncultured bacterium. RNAcentral describes it as "bacterial SSU rRNA". It matches the Rfam family "Bacterial small subunit ribosomal RNA", at positions 444 to 793 of the family's 1533-position model. The record is from RNAcentral.
GAGGAAGGUGGAUAUGUUAAUAGCAUAUUCAUUUUGACGUUUAGCUGCAGAAGAAGCACCGGCUAACUCCGUGCCAGCAGCCGCGGUAAUACGGAGGGUGCGAGCGUUAAUCGGAAUUACUGGGCGUAAAGCGCAUGCAGGUGGUUUGUUAAGUCAGAUGUGAAAGCCCGGGGCUCAACCUCGGAAUUGCAUUUGAAACUGGCAAACUAGAGUACUGUAGAGGGGGUAGAAUUUCAGGUGUAGCGGUGAAAUGCGUAGAGAUCUGAAGGAAUACCGGUGGCGAAGGCGGCCCCCUGGACAGAUACUGACACUCAGAUGCGAAAGCGUGGGGAGCAAACAGGAUUAGAUACCCUGGUAG